GAUGAAGAACGCAGCGAAAUGCGAUACUUGGUGUGAAUUGCAGAAUCCCGUGAACCAUCGAGUCUUUGAACGCAAGUUGCGCCCGAAGCCAUUAGGCCGAGGGCACGCCUGCCUGGGCGUCACACGUCGUUGCCCCCCCAUCUACUCCUUCGGGAUUGCGGGGGGCGGAUGAUGGCCUCCCGUGCGCCUCGUCGCGCGGUUGGCAUAAAUGCCAAGUCCUCGGCGACGCACGCCACGACAAUCGGUGGUUGCGAAACCUCGGUUGCCCGUCGUGUGCGGUCGUCGCGCAUCGAGGGCUCGAAAAAAUUGCCGGGCUCCGGCUCGGCUUUCAACGCGACCCCAGGUCAGGCGGGGUUACCCGCUGAAUUUAAGCAUAUCAAUAAGUGGAGGA
RNAcentral lists this unclassified non-coding RNA (391 nucleotides) under soil metagenome. RNAcentral describes it as "partial contains 5.8S ribosomal RNA, internal transcribed spacer 2, and large subunit ribosomal RNA". The stretch from base 1 to 122 matches the Rfam family "5.8S ribosomal RNA", at positions 35 to 154 of the family's 154-position model. The record is from RNAcentral.